AAGGGCACCACAAGAACGCGUGGAGCAUGUGGCUUAAUUUGACUCAACGCGGGAAAUCUUACCGGGUCCGGACACACUGAGGAUUGACAGACAAAUACACACACUUUUACGGUGUGUGCAUGAAAUAUGCUAGUUCUUUCAUGAUUAUGUGAUAGGUGGUGCAUGGCCGUUCUUAGUUCGUGGAGUGAUCUGUCUGCUUAAUUGCGUUUCACUAAAGGCACAUACACAUAAUAUUGAUGUGUUGUGUGUAUAAUUUAUAAUUAUACGCAUACACACAUAUUAUAUUGUGCUUUGAAAGCAACGAACGUGACCGCAACCUCUUGUUGCCUGUAUAUAUGUGUAUUUUAUACACACCACAGGCUAUUAUAAACUAGAGGGACCGCUGUUACUUUCUUUUAAACCAGAGGAAGGUUGCGGCAAUAACAGGUCUGUGAUGCCCUUAGAUGUUCCGGGCUGCACACGUGCUACAAUGAUCAUUGCAGUGCGCAUCUCAUUUUGUUAUACACUGCUUGUGCGUAUGUGCACCAAUAUUUAUAUGUGUGUGUAUGUAUUGCACGCAGUAAAGCCUACUUCGAAAGUUGUGGGUAAUCAAUUUGAAGUAAUGAUUUCUCCAAAUAUAUAUACUGCACACUCAUAUACAGUGUCUUAUGUCCAUGAAAAUAUUUUAUUUUUGUGUGUGCAUUCGACGCUCGUAUGUGCAAUUGUCAAUUCAUGGUGGGGACAGACCAUUGUUAAUUGUUGGUCUCGGUCUUAACUAGGAAUGCCUUGUACGGGUCUUUGGUUCAACAAACCACCCGGAAUACGUCCCUGCCCUUUGUACACACCGCCCGUCGCUCUUACCGAUGGACUUCUCUGUGAGUUUGAGGGACUGGAUUUUAUAUCUAUGGAAACUCAAACGAACAGUGUGGUCUAAAGGAAAGAGAAGUCGUAACAAGGCAUCCGUAGGUGAACCU
Molecule: ribosomal RNA, 953 nt
Filed under: Haynesina sp. S16
Lineage: Eukaryota; Foraminifera; Rotaliida; Nonionidae
Description: SSU rRNA
Rfam family: Eukaryotic small subunit ribosomal RNA
Source: RNAcentral